UAGUAUCUUAUGUUGCCUGCGCUUUAACUAGCGCGGCGACUAAAACCUUACACACAGUGCUUAGUUUUUCUAACAUUGCUUUGCGUGGAAUAAGCCUAGCUUUUCUGCGCAGAGGUUAUCAAAACACAAGAUUUUUAUAUCUUUUAUUACAAAUUCUAGUCAAGAAGUUUUUAUUAAAAACAAAUCUUCAA
Molecule: unclassified non-coding RNA, 191 nt
Filed under: uncultured Pichia
Lineage: Eukaryota; Fungi; Ascomycota; Saccharomycetes; Saccharomycetales; Saccharomycetaceae
Description: sequence contains ITS1
Source: RNAcentral